Molecule: long non-coding RNA, 417 nt
Organism: Neltuma alba
Lineage: Eukaryota; Viridiplantae; Streptophyta; Magnoliopsida; Fabales; Fabaceae
Exons: 3
Source: RefSeq, a predicted model, not a curated record
AGAGUUUGAAGCGUCAUAAAGAUGAAGAUCUCCUUAAAGGUCAAGCUGUGAAAAACCAGAAGGCACUCUAGUACAAGAUCCUUGAGCUUAGAGUCUUACUUCAGAAGCCAUACUCAAGUUCAAAUAGGUUACCCCAAGAGCCAGUCAGGUCUUCAUUGUAUGGUUCUGAUAAGGGUGUUAGUGUAGCAUAUUCAGAUCUUAUGACCUCCUCCAAGGAGACGUUAGAUUCUAUAUUGGAACUACAAGGGGUCUAGAUAUAGAAGAAAAUGUAGAACUGUUCCCUUACAUUUCAUGCCAACAGAAACUGUAUUUAUCUAUAAUAUUAUGUCUUUACUUCUCUAAUUUUCUUAUGCACUGAUAAUUUUCUCCUUAUAUUAGGCCCUGCUUGCCCGGAAUCCAUCUAUUGCCCAAGUCUCA